UCAGAUGCGAAAGCGUGGGUAGCAAACAGGAUUAGAUACCCUGGUAGUCCACGCCGUAAACGCUGUCUACUUGGAGGUUGAGGUUUUGGACUUUGGCUUUCGGCGCUAACGCAUUAAGUAGACCGCCUGGGGAGUACGGCCGCAAGGUUAAAACUCAAAUGAAUUGACGGGGGCCCGCACAAGCGGUGGAGCAUGUGGUUUAAUUCGAUGCAACGCGAAGAACCUUACCUACUCUUGACAUCCAGCGAAGCCUUUAGAGAUAGAGGCGUGCCUUCGGGAGCGCUGAGACAGGUGCUGCAUGGCUGUCGUCAGCUCGUGUUGUGAAAUGUUGGGUUAAGUCCCGCAACGAGCGCAACCCUUAUCCUUGUUUGCCAGCACGUAAUGGUGGGAACUCCAGGGAGACUGCCGGUGAUAAACCGGAGGAAGGUGGGGACGACGUCAAGUCAUCAUGGCCCUUACGAGUAGGGCUACACACGUGCUACAAUGGCAGAUACAGGGGGCAGCGAGACAGCGAUGUUUAGCGAAUCCCUUAAAGUUUGUCGUAGUCCGGAUUGGAGUCUGCAACUCGACUCCAUGAAGUCGGAGUCGCUAGUAAUCGUGGAUCAGAAUGCCACGGUGAAUACGUUCCCGGGCCUUGUACACACCGCCC
RNAcentral lists this ribosomal RNA (649 nucleotides) under uncultured bacterium. RNAcentral's name for it is "bacterial SSU rRNA". It matches the Rfam family "Bacterial small subunit ribosomal RNA", at positions 747 to 1395 of the family's 1533-position model. The record is from RNAcentral.